Molecule: ribosomal RNA, 740 nt
Filed under: uncultured archaeon
Lineage: Archaea
Description: bacterial SSU rRNA
Rfam family: Archaeal small subunit ribosomal RNA
Source: RNAcentral
UUCCGGUUGAUCCUGCCGGACCCGACUGCUAUCAGAGUGAGAUUAAGCCAUGCGAGUUAACGUAGCAAUACGUGGCGCACGGCUCAGUAACACGUAGUCAACAUGCCCAGAGGACGUGGAUAACCUCGGGAAACUGAGUCUAAACCGCGAUAAGUGAGGAUUUCUGGAAUGGUUCCUGACUAAAAUCUAUAUGGCCUCUGGAUUGGACUGCGGCCGAUCAGGCUGUUGGUGUGGUAAUGGCCCACCAAACCUGUAACCGGUACGGGCUCUGAGAGGAGGAGCCCGGAGAUGGGCACUGAGACAAGGGCCCAGGCCCUAUGGGGCGCAGCAGGCGCGAAACCUCUGCAAUAGGCGAAAGCCUGACAGGGUUACUCUGAGUGACUUUCGCUAAGAAAGUCUUUUGGCACCUCUAAAAAUGGUGCAGAAUAAGGGGUGGGCAAGUCUGGUGUCAGCCGCCGCGGUAAUACCAGCACCCCGAGUGGUCGGGACGAUUAUUGGGCCUAAAGCAUCCGUAGCCGGUUCUGCAAGUCCCCCGUUAAAUCCAGCUGCUCAACAGAUGGGCCGCGGAGGAUACUACAGAGCUAGGAGGCAGGAGAGGCAAGCGGUACUCAGUGGGUAGGGGUAAAAUCCGUUGAUCCAUUGAAGACCACCAGUGGCGAAGGCGGCUUGCCAGAAUGCGCUCGACGGUGAGGGAUGAAAGCUGGGGGAGCAAACCGGAUUAGAUACCCGGGUAGUCCUAG